Molecule: transfer RNA, 85 nt
Filed under: Byssovorax cruenta
Lineage: Bacteria; Pseudomonadati; Myxococcota; Polyangiales; Polyangiaceae
Also listed under: 3 other names
Description: tRNA-Ser
Rfam family: tRNA
About the family: Transfer RNA (tRNA) molecules are approximately 80 nucleotides in length. Their secondary structure includes four short double-helical elements and three loops (D, anti-codon, and T loops).
Source: RNAcentral
GGAGGAGUGGCCGAGUGGUCGAAGGCAGCGGUUUUGAAAACCGCCGUACCGAAAGGUACCAGGGGUUCGAAUCCCUUCUCCUCCG